GCCUCUGUAGCUCAGUUGGUUAGAGCGCUGCACCGGAAUCGCAGGGCCGUAGGUUCAAUUCCUACCAGAGGAU
Molecule: transfer RNA, 73 nt
Filed under: Paramuricea clavata
Lineage: Eukaryota; Metazoa; Cnidaria; Anthozoa; Malacalcyonacea; Plexauridae
Rfam family: tRNA
About the family: Transfer RNA (tRNA) molecules are approximately 80 nucleotides in length.
Source: Rfam by way of RNAcentral